Molecule: transfer RNA, 77 nt
Filed under: Gammaproteobacteria bacterium
Lineage: Bacteria; Pseudomonadati; Pseudomonadota; Gammaproteobacteria
Also listed under: 1 other name
Description: tRNA-Thr
Rfam family: tRNA
About the family: Transfer RNA (tRNA) molecules are approximately 80 nucleotides in length. Their secondary structure includes four short double-helical elements and three loops (D, anti-codon, and T loops).
Source: RNAcentral
GCCGGUGUAGCUCAGCUCGGUAGAGCAACUGAUUCGUAAUCAGUAGGUCGUAGGUUCAAAUCCUAUCACCGGCACCA